CCCUUAGAUGUUCUGGGCUGCACGCGCGCUACACUGAAGCGUUCAACGAGUAUUCACCUUGCCCGGGAGGGUUGGGUAAUCUUUUGAAAACGCUUCGUGAUGGGGAUAGAUUAUUGCAAUUAUUAAUCUUCAACGAGGAAUUCCUAGUAAGCGCGAGUCAUCAGCUCGUGCUGAUUACGUCCCUGCCCUUUGUACACACCGCCCGUCGCACCUACCGAUUGAAUGGUCCGGUGAAAUCUCGGGACGGCGGCUCGGUCGCUUGCGUCCGACUGCUGAAACUUGAUUAAACCAUAUCAUUUAGAGGAAGGUGGAGUCGUAACA
RNAcentral lists this ribosomal RNA (321 nucleotides) under uncultured eukaryote. RNAcentral's name for it is "partial 18S ribosomal RNA". It matches the Rfam family "Eukaryotic small subunit ribosomal RNA", at positions 1470 to 1796 of the family's 1831-position model. The record is from RNAcentral.